Molecule: ribosomal RNA, 428 nt
Filed under: uncultured bacterium
Lineage: Bacteria
Description: partial 16S ribosomal RNA
Rfam family: Bacterial small subunit ribosomal RNA
Source: RNAcentral
GUGGGGAAUAUUGGGCAAUGGGCGCAAGCCUGACCCAGCAACGCCGCGUGAAGGAAGAAGGCUUUCGGGUUGUAAACUUCUUUUGUCAGGGACGAAGCAAGUGACGGUACCUGACGAAUAAGCCACGGCUAACUACGUGCCAGCAGCCGCGGUAAUACGUAGGUGGCAAGCGUUAUCCGGAUUUACUGGGUGUAAAGGGCGUGUAGGCGGGAAAGCAAGUCAGAUGUGAAAACUGUGGGCUCAACCCAUAGCUUGCAUUUGAAACUGUUUUUCUUGAGUACUGGGGAGGCAGAUGGAAUUCCGAGUGUAGCGGUGAAAUGCGUAGAUAUUAGGAGGAACACCAGUGGCGAAGGCGAUCUGCUGGACAGCAACUGACGCUGAGGCGCGAAAGCGUGGGGAGCAAACAGGAUUAGAUACCCUUGUAGUCC